CACUAUGCUUAGCCGUAAAAUAUUAACCCACACUUAACCCGCCAGGGAAUUACGAGCCCAAGCUUAAAACCCAAAGGACUUGACGGUGUCCCAUCCCCCUAGAGGAGCCUGUUCUAUAAUCGAUUCUCCCCGAUCUACCUUACCGUUUCUUGAAUACCCAGUCUGUAUACCUCCGUCGCAAGCUUACCAUGUGAACGCACAGUGAGCCUAAAGAUCUAUCAUCCAAACGUCAGGUCAAGGUGCAGCCCACGGAACGGAAAGAAAUGGGCUACAAUCUCUACCCUAGAACAAACGGAAAGCUGUAUGAAACACAGUUAUUGAAGGCGGAUUUAGUAGUAAAAAGAAAACAGAGUGUUCUUUUUAACUAGGCGCUGGGACGCGUACACACCGCCCGUCACCCUCUUCAAAUAGAAGACUUAAAGUCAUUAACACCAUGCAAUUAUAUAGAAGAGGCAAGUCGUAACAUGGUAAGUGUACUGGAAAGUGCACUUGGAAUAACAAAAUGUAGCUUAAUGAAAGCAUCCUGUUUACACCAAGACCAUGUCUGUGAAACCCUGACCAUUUUGAGCCUAAAUCUCAGCCCUAAUUCUCCCCAUGAAUUCCUCUUCCUUUCUUCCCCCCCCCAUAAUAAAACAUUUUCUUAACCCAGUAAAGGCGAUUAAAAAGUUACUAGGAGCUUCAACAUCAGUACCGCAAGGGAAAAUUGAAAUAAAAAUGAAAUAAAUUUAAAGCAUUUCAAAGUAAAGACUUCCCCUUGUACCUU
Molecule: ribosomal RNA, 763 nt
Filed under: Choerophryne sp. SJR10537
Lineage: Eukaryota; Metazoa; Chordata; Amphibia; Anura; Microhylidae
Description: partial 12S ribosomal RNA
Rfam family: Bacterial small subunit ribosomal RNA (bases 1-505)
Source: RNAcentral